Molecule: ribosomal RNA, 254 nt
Filed under: uncultured bacterium
Lineage: Bacteria
Description: partial 16S ribosomal RNA
Rfam family: Bacterial small subunit ribosomal RNA
Source: RNAcentral
UACGGGGGGGGCAAGCGUUGUUCGGAAUUACUGGGCGUAAAGGGCGCGUAGGCGGCCUGCUAAGUCGGACGUGAAAUCCCUCGGCUCAACCGGGGAACUGCGUCCGAUACUGGCGAGGCUUGAAUCCGGGAGAGGGAUGUGGAAUUCCAGGUGUAGCGGUGAAAUGCGUAGAGAUCGGGAGGAAGGCCGGUGGCGAAGGCGGCGCUCUGGAACGUAUCUGACGCUGAGACACGAAAGCGUGGGGAGCAAACAGG